Molecule: long non-coding RNA, 3387 nt
Organism: Sciurus carolinensis (gray squirrel)
Lineage: Eukaryota; Metazoa; Chordata; Mammalia; Rodentia; Sciuridae
Exons: 3
Source: RefSeq, a predicted model, not a curated record
UAAACAGAGGGCAAGAAAUAGCCAGCAAUUGUACAGUUGUUAGGGCUGAGAAUGUAGAAUGUAUCCAGAGGUGGGAACCAUAGUAAAGGGGAAAAUCUGCCUGUUGGAGAAGCAAUCUGGAUGGAAUCUUGGCCUUGGGUUUCCAGACUGCUGCCAGGACAACCUGACUCGCUAAGUACUCGCUGAAGGCCUGCUGGCCCAGGGAGCACAGCUGAGUUACCUGGCUAGUUCAUACAUGCCAGUACUGGCUGUGAAGAGGGCACAGGACUGGAGUUGGCUCAGGUCUAGUCCUGCUUUGCCCUCCCCUAGCUCCACAGCCUCCCAAGUUACGGUUUUCCUGACUUUAAAAUCAAGGGGCUAGACCAGAAGAUUCCUGUGAUUCUGAAUGUGCUUCCUCUGGAAUUUCUGGGUUUUUUCCUGGAGCCCAGCAGGGUUGUUGUAUUGCCGAAGAAGUCUUGGUGGAGUCUAGCCUGAAGAAGAACUGGGGUGAGAUUUUCAGCAAUCCCCAGGACUUGGGCUGUAACCCGAGGCAUGAAACCUCUGUGUAUCCUAUGUUGCUGUCUUCAUCUUGCUACAUCCUAACUAUAAGAACCAUUUGACCAAUCUCCCCACAAGUUCCCCAGUACCAAGAAAAAGGAAAAGAGCACAAAUUAAUCAAAUAGGGUGGAAGAUGGAAGGCGAAGAGGAUGUGUGAGAGAGCAAGAGAUGAAACUCACAGCCUUCAGCCCUUUUAUAGUAAGCAUUAAUCCAUUCUUGAAGAUGAAGCCCUCAUGGCCCGAUCGUCUGUCAAAAGUCUUACUCUUAAUACUGUUGCACUGGGUAUUAAGUUUCUAAUACCUGCCUUUUGGGGAAUAGAUUCAAACUACAGCAAGCACUUUCCUAAAAAGAAAAUCCAAAUGGCUAACAAACAUGAACUGGGUUAGGGUUGUGGCUCAGUGAUGGAGUACUUGCUUAGUAUCUGUAAGACUCUGAAUUCCAUCCUCAGAACUGCAAAAAGAAAAACAAAACAAAAACAUGCUCAACCUCAUUACUAAUCAGAGAAAUACAAAUCAAUGCCCCUAGAGAUGCCAUUGCUCCCUCAUCAGAUUGGUGAAAUUUAAAAGUCUGAUGGUAUCAGAUGUUGGUGAGUACCUGGAUCAAUGGAAACUUGCAAAUGAUAUAAAUUAGUAUGACCACUUUGAAUAACAGUUUAGCAUUACAAACUGGAAGAUUUACCUUGAAUUUUGACUUCCAGGUAUAAAUUCUGGAGAAACUUCAACAUGUGCAUCAGAUGGAAUAUGCUAAAAGAAUUUUCUUUACUAGGAUGUCAUAACAGUCCCAAGCUGGAAAUAACGUGAAUGUUCACUAACAGUAGAAUGGGUUAACUGGCAUAUUCUACAAUGGAAUACUAUACAACAAAAAAUUUAAAUGAACUGAAGUUAUAUGAGAUUAAUCUUUGGAAAUAAUGAAAGCUCAAAAGAAUAUAUCCAAUCUGAUUUUCUCCACAUAAUGUUCAAAAACAGAGAAAACCAUAUUGUUUAGGGAGCCAUACUUUGGUGGUUAAAUUCCUAGAAAAGUGAGGAAGUGCUUUUUAGAAAACAUCCUCUUUGGAGGAGGGUUGAUAUGAUCAGGAAGAGGCACAUCUGAAAGCAGGGUAACAAAGAUGCUUGAGCUAUUUUACUUGUUCACCUGGGUGGUGGGUAACUCAGGUGUCUAUUUGAAAAUUUGUUAAGCUAUACUCCUAUGUUGAAUGCACUCUGGAUCCAUGAUGUAUUUCACAAUAAAAGAAGUUAAAAAAUGGCAAUGCUUAACUGUUAUAUUUGAAAGUUUUGUGUCUUGUAGCAAUGUAAACUCCUCCUCCAUCUGCCUUCUGAAAUCUUCCCUUAAGUCUACCAUCUGGGUCUCCAAGGCUCAGAGUCCUAAGUUGCCAUCUAGGUUACAAUGAUACUCGAUUAAACAGAUAAUACUGUGCUGUAUGGACAGCAGGGAUGAGAAAAUAGUCAAAGAUAUACUAGUGAAUUUUUUUUGUACUGGGGAUUGAACCCAGGGCCUUUCACAUGCUAGGUAAGUACUCUACCACUCAGCUACCUCCCAUGUCCCCAAAGGUAUACUAGAAAAUGAUGGGGCCAGGACUGGAAUCAGAAAGCCCAGGUACUUCUCUUCCAGACUGAAGAUCUUUUUUCUUGCUUGCUUGUUGUCAUUCAAGAGAGAGAUGCCUUUGAAGAUGCUUUAAAAAACUACUGGAUAAGCCAAGUGUGGCGGUGCAUGCUUAUAGGCCUAGCUACUGGGGAGGAAGAGGUAGGAGAAUCAUGAGUUGGAGGCCAAUCCCAGCAACAUAGCAAGAGCCUGUCUCAAGUGAACAAAUGGAAACAUUGGAUUACCUGGGCGCAGUGAUGUGUACCUGCAGUCCCAGUUAGGCUGAAUCAGGUGGAUGGCUUGAACCCAGGAGUUGGAUGCCAGCCUGGGCAACAGAGUGACAUCCUGUCUCAAAUAGCAACGACCAAAACUGAGCCUUAAGGAAGAAAGAGGGAGGCACAUGCACAUAUCUCUAGUCUUUCCUCUGUGUUCUAAAAUUUGGUUGACUCUGUUGCAGUGUGCCAUACUCUAGGAAACUUCAGAAAAAGGUAAGGUCCAGAAGUCUGAACUAGAGCCCUUCAAUCAAAGCUGUGUGAUUGAAAUCUGCAGAAAAGGACCUGAAGGCCAUAUGGACUGAGGUGUGCAUUUGCUACUUUCCACAUUGUUUGCAACCAUUUCUGUUCAGUGGUUGGUGUUAAACAUCCCUAUCCCCAUUUUUUUGCUUCCUGCUCCCUUAUCUAUUCUGUUUUCCAAACACCUUCAUAGCUUCCAGAUUCUGAUACCAGAUAUUGAUGUGUUGCCCUGGGAUCAUCCAAGAUGAUAGCAUAGUAUCUGUUUGUCCUAAUUCUCUCUCAUAAUUGAGCCCAUUUCUAGUAGUUGUCAUAAUAAACAUGAGGCUACUUUAGAAGUGUAUUCUGACAUCAGCCAUGUUCCUGGGACUUCAUGGGUCUUCAGACCUACAUUCAUUACUGUGUAAUAGCUGUCUCAAAUUAUAUUGCUUCCUGGCAGCUACAAUUCUGUGUCAGUGAGAAACAUGAAAGUUCUUUGACUACUUAAUUUUCAAUUCUGUGGAACUGGUUCCUGGUGAAAUAAACAGCUUGCUGCAGUGAGACCUAGAAUAUAAUUUCCUCUCUAGGCCACUAACAUCUGUACAAACUGCCAGUGAUAUGUAAAUGCUUUUCUCCAUUGUUGUUACCUUAAAAGAAUUUUUUCUUGAGAUCAGGUUUUGACUAUUAAGGUUUUUUCCACCCAGACAUAAAGGUAGGUAAUCAUACUAAUCUGUCGGUUUAUCUGUGUUCUUCCUUCCGAGGAACCAAAGAAACUUAUGAAACA